Molecule: long non-coding RNA, 285 nt
Organism: Drosophila montana
Lineage: Eukaryota; Metazoa; Arthropoda; Insecta; Diptera; Drosophilidae
Exons: 3
Source: RefSeq, a predicted model, not a curated record
CGUUGUUUCGAAUUCAAAGUGGUAGUGAAAAUACGUUUUCCCUUAAAUAAAUUAAUGUUUUAUUGUAAUCUCAUCGGAUACCGCUUGUUUGCAAACGAAUGGCGACAGAUUCUGUCUGCCGAAAUAUGUAUUACUUAAUCCAAAUUGUGCUAACUAUCCUACACUUUCACACAACUAGUCGCUGAAAUAGCUAUAAACUUUAAAUCCAAGCAUGCAUACAAAUUAAUCGGAUAAUAAACACAGAAGUUAUUCAAGAAUGCAUUUUUUAUAAAGUGGAAGUGAGAG